GGGUGCCCUCGCUAAGGAGAUUGCGGCGGACCCGGAAGUGCUUGGCCACAGUCGCAGCCCCGGCGCCCCGAAGCGGGAAAAAGGCUGGGUGCCGCCGUCCCCCAGCUGCGCAACCCUAGGAACUCUCGGCAAAAAAAAAGAGCAUGAGGAAUUUGAAGACUGAGAGAUGAGUUGUGUAGCACCAACAUUUUCUUUCUGCCUGACCUUCAUACCUGAUGAAUUAAAAGCAUAGGAUGUUUGGAAGAGUGAGAUAGGGGACACAUUGAAAACAGAGAGGCAAUCUGAAGGCUACCUUGACGCAUCUGCAAAGCUCCCAGAUUCUGACUUUCACAAGACUUGCUUUCUGUUUCUGGGCCUCGCCUAAACAGACUGCCAGUCAUCCGAACCGUGGCAGGAUGGAGAUGUUUGUGUAAGGUAGACUCAAGUUUGCAAGACUCAAGAAGGAAACCACCAAACUAAUUUUACUUUCACUUAAACCAGAUUGAAACCAAGACUUGAAGAAUUAAAAACUUUGACAUUAACCAUUGAUUCACUCCAAUGAAAUAAUUGUGUUAUAGCCAGAAUCAUGGUGAAAUUGGAACAAGGCUUUUGAUGGGAUUUUUAAUUGAGGGACUUAUAUUAAAUUGGAUAUUUUCUUUAAUGAACAGCAUGUGGCCAAAAUUCUAUUUUCAUUAAAGUAUAUUAAGCAUCAUGACAACUCAUAUUAAACCUGCAACAAAUGAUUAAUGACAUUUAGAGACUUCAAAUGUCAUGAGACACCUUAAAUAUUAAGAAUCAAAAAGAACACCUCAAAGUUGUUUCUAUUCUUAGUAAUUAUGCUUAAAAAAACAUCUUUCCUUGCUUUGAAAGCCAGUUGCUAAAAAUAAAAACUGUUCCAUGAAAAAUCACAAUGCCCAAUGAUAAAUUUAUGUAUUUGUUUUUUAAAGGGGGAGGAUGGUGAGAAAAAUAGAAAGCUCCUGGCUGACAUCAGAGGUCACAAGAUGAGUUCCUCAUUUGUCCAAAUGACAUUCAGCUGCUAAAAGAAGUCAGACUUUUAGAGGGCUGUUGAAAAGACAGUAAGUCAGGAGGUUUUCAGUACAUGACUGCAGGGGAAUCAGACACAGGCUAGUCACUUAAGUUGCUUAAUUGUCCGUGUACCCUUAGCCCACGACUUCAGGGCUCAGCAGCUUCAUCCUUCAUGGCACCAAACCUUGACGUAAGGGAUUCAAAGACACACUCAUAAGAAUCGUGAAUUUGUCCUCAUGCAAAAUUUGGGGGACUGGCUACAAAACCGAAACAAGGAGAUCGUAUCCCUAAGUGAAAGGGACUUUAUAUUAAUUGUCAGUUAUAACAAUAUGUAAAAUACAUAAAAGAGAUAGAGCACUGCAGGCCAUCAAGGUCAAACAUUUGAAACAGAAUUAAACUAAAUUAUAAGGAGGAUUAAAUGGCUUUUGUCUUUGUAAAGAAAAGAAUAUGCAUGCAUUGAUUGCCUAUGUAGAAGGAUUAAUAAAUCUUUUGGCAUGGUCGAUUUGUAAUAAAUUACUGAAAAUGUGGGAUUACAAUGAAACUCUUAAAGUGUGCCACAUAAGUCAAGGAAGCCACCUAAGUCAUGGGAUGGGCAUGAGUGAGACACUCUGGAAUAAUCUUGAUGCUACUCUGGGACUGCCCUUGCAGGGUGGGACAUCAGCUUCACUAA
This 1675-nucleotide long non-coding RNA is filed under the name Homo sapiens (human). RNAcentral's name for it is "HSALNT0296555". Lineage: Eukaryota; Metazoa; Chordata; Mammalia; Primates; Hominidae. The record is from RNAcentral.